AUGGAUCCUGCGUCCACGCCGAUUACGCGUGCGCCGUCCACAUCCACCUGACGACUGCUCGCUACGGUUUAUCCGCC
Molecule: small RNA, 77 nt
Filed under: Xanthomonas cucurbitae
Lineage: Bacteria; Pseudomonadati; Pseudomonadota; Gammaproteobacteria; Lysobacterales; Lysobacteraceae
Also listed under: 1 other name
Description: sX9 sRNA
Rfam family: Xanthomonas sRNA sX9
Source: RNAcentral